UAGCAAUUUCCUAAUUGCGUUGGUAGCC
Molecule: small RNA, 28 nt
Filed under: Bombyx mori (domestic silkworm)
Lineage: Eukaryota; Metazoa; Arthropoda; Insecta; Lepidoptera; Bombycidae
Description: ovarian small RNA-22237
Source: RNAcentral